GCAUAGCUCACUUGGUUAGAGUGUGGUGCUGAUAAUGCCAAGGUUGCAGGUUCAAACCCCGUGUGAGGCA
Molecule: transfer RNA, 70 nt
Filed under: Podarcis lilfordi (Lilford's wall lizard)
Lineage: Eukaryota; Metazoa; Chordata; Lepidosauria; Squamata; Lacertidae
Description: tRNA.Ile
Rfam family: tRNA (bases 4-62)
About the family: Transfer RNA (tRNA) molecules are approximately 80 nucleotides in length. Their secondary structure includes four short double-helical elements and three loops (D, anti-codon, and T loops).
Source: RNAcentral